This 501-nucleotide ribosomal RNA is filed under the name uncultured bacterium. Its description in RNAcentral is "partial 16S ribosomal RNA". It matches the Rfam family "Bacterial small subunit ribosomal RNA", at positions 30 to 523 of the family's 1533-position model. The record is from RNAcentral.
AUUGAACGCUGGCGGCAGGCUUAACACAUGCAAGUCGAGCGGAGAGAGGUAGCUUGCUACUGAUCUUAGCGGCGGACGGGUGAGUAAUGCUUAGGAAUCUGCCUAUUAGUGGGGGACAACAUUUCGAAAGGAAUGCUAAUACCGCAUACGUCCUACGGGAGAAAGCAGGGGAUCUUCGGACCUUGCGCUAAUAGAUGAGCCUAAGUCGGAUUAGCUAGUUGGUGGGGUAAAGGCCUACCAAGGCGACGAUCUGUAGCGGGUCUGAGAGGAUGAUCCGCCACACUGGGACUGAGACACGGCCCAGACUCCUACGGGAGGCAGCAGUGGGGAAUAUUGGACAAUGGGGGGAACCCUGAUCCAGCCAUGCCGCGUGUGUGAAGAAGGCCUUAUGGUUGUAAAGCACUUUAGGCGAGGAGGAGGCUCUUUUGGUUAAUACCCAAGAUGAGUGGACGUUACUCGCAGAAUAAGCACCGGCUAACUCUGUGCCAGCCGCCGCCGUAA